This 476-nucleotide ribosomal RNA is filed under the name uncultured bacterium. RNAcentral's name for it is "partial 16S ribosomal RNA". It matches the Rfam family "Bacterial small subunit ribosomal RNA", at positions 28 to 523 of the family's 1533-position model. The record is from RNAcentral.
GACGAACGCUGGCGGCGUGCCUAACACAUGCAAGUCGAGCGAUGAAACCCUUCGGGGUGGAUUAGCGGCGGACGGGUGAGUAACACGUGGGUAACCUGCCUCAUAGAGGGGGAUAGCCUCCCGAAAGGGAGAUUAAUACCGCAUAAUGUAUUUUGUUCGCAUGAAUAAAAUAUCAAAGGAGUAAUCCACUAUGAGAUGGACCCGCGGCGCAUUAGCUAGUUGGUGAGGUAACGGCUCACCAAGGCGACGAUGCGUAGCCGACCUGAGAGGGUGAUCGGCCACAUUGGAACUGAGACACGGUCCAGACUCCUACGGGAGGCAGCAGUGGGGAAUAUUGCGCAAUGGGGGAAACCCUGACGCAGCAACGCCGCGUGAAUGAUGAAGGCCUUAGGGUUGUAAAGUUCUGUCUUCUGGGACGAUAAUGACGGUACCAGAGGAGGAAGCCACGGCUAACUACGUGCCAGCCGCCGCCGUAA